This 373-nucleotide RNase P RNA is filed under the name Gammaproteobacteria bacterium. RNAcentral describes it as "RNase P RNA component class A". It matches the Rfam family "Bacterial RNase P class A". From Rfam's summary of the family: Ribonuclease P (RNase P) is a ubiquitous endoribonuclease, found in archaea, bacteria and eukarya as well as chloroplasts and mitochondria. Its best characterised activity is the generation of mature 5'-ends of tRNAs by cleaving the 5'-leader elements of precursor-tRNAs. Cellular RNase Ps are ribonucleoproteins. Lineage: Bacteria; Pseudomonadati; Pseudomonadota; Gammaproteobacteria. The record is from RNAcentral.
GAAGUGAGCUAGACAAUCGCUAGAAAAAGUCAUUUUUUUAGAGGAAAGUCCGGGCUCCAGAGGGUACAGCGCCAGGUAACGCCUGGGAGGCGUGAGUUUACGGAAAGUGCCACAGAAAAUAAACCGCCCAAAUUAUCGGGUAAGGGUGAAAAGGUGCGGUAAGAGCGCACCGCGUUGCUGGUAACAGUAACGGCAGGGAAAACCCCGCUGGGAGCAAAGCUAAAUAGGGACUAAAGACUUCGGUCGAGUGUGACCCACACUUGGGCUCGUUUGAGCCUGUUAGUCCGGGUAAGCUGCUUGAGGUGGUUAGCGAUAACCAUCCUAGAGAAAUGAUUGUCCACGACAGAACCCGGCUUAUCGGCUCACUUUACUU